AGAAAGAGAGCUACGGGAGACAAAGGGAAAGAGGAAGAAGAAGAAAAGAAAGGAGAGAAGGAAGGGAAGGAGAAGAGAAGUAGAGGAAAUAAGUUUAAAAAGGUAAGAUUUAUGGUUUGAAGUGUAUAAUAUGUUAAAUUUCGGUUUUGAUUAAUUUUAGAGUUUUCAAGUUUGUAUUUUGAGUUAAUUGAUGAAUUAAUUUGAAGCUUAGGAGUUGAUUAUUGUGGGUAUUUGAUUAAUUAGUUGAUUUUGAGAGAUUGAAUUGAAGGAUAAUGAUUUUGAAUUAUGAUUUUGUUUAAAUGGUGAAAUUGUGUUAGAAAUCAAGAGAUAACAGUAGAUUAUCUGUUGAAAUUCUGGGUUUGAGGUUGAAGAUGACAAAAAUUCAAUUUGGUCCCUCAAUUUGCGAAAAUUGCAGUUUAGUCCCUGAACUUUGGAAAUAUUACAAAUUGGUCCCUGGAGCAUAUUCCGAGAUUCUGAACAGAAUAACAUAUGGAUUAUGGGCAGAAUUACUGUAUAGAUAAGAGAAUUUAACACUUUCAAUUUGGUCCUCCAAUUUGACAAAUUACGAUUUGACCCCUAAAAGUUUGAUAAAAUCACAUUUUGGACCUUGGGGCAUAAUUCAAGAUUCUGGACAAAGAUAAGGACGAAUUAUGGAUAAAUUUCAGUAUGGUCAUGUAUUUACAAUUCGGUCCUCAAAUUUUGGUAAAAUUACGUUUUGGUCCCUGUUUUGGAAAAUUGUCGUUUUAGUCCAUAAACUUAGGAGACUAAGCCUGGUUUCCUUUUAUGCAUUGGGAUCUUUUGUUUGAUUUUUUUUUUUAGUAUAUUUCAUAUAUUUAUUGUAGGUUCUCCUAACGAUUCUUAAUAGGAUUUUCGGGUCUUUCGUCCGACAUUCCUUUUAGUUCUAUAUUUUUCGAGUGAGUGGAAUAAUCUUUAAUAUGCAUAUAAUAUAAAUAAAUAUGUAUGUUGAUUAUAAAAUGAGUACAACUAGUAAAUUUCUUGAAUAUUUAUAUAUGUUGCUUUAUUUUCCGAGUACUCAUUUAUUCUUGAAUUUGCACUCGCAAUCUGAUAAAGUAAAUUCUAUUUGAUAUGAUAUACGUUUCUUUGAUGAUUCUGUGAAUAUCUAUUAUGCCUUGAUAUGGGAGUUGUCAGUAACUCCAUGCUAACGGAGAAUAGUUAGCCUGUGUGCACAUAGUAUUCUGUAUACCUAGCUGGUGAGAGAGGCAUCAGCCUGUGGCGAUUGAUCAUCCCACAGUGGUCACCGACGGGUGUCAUCUGGUCACCUUCGGGUGUCAUAUGAUCUCUGACAUGUAAU
RNAcentral lists this long non-coding RNA (1312 nucleotides) under Populus tremula. RNAcentral's name for it is "long non-coding RNA (PTRE_LNC003167)". Lineage: Eukaryota; Viridiplantae; Streptophyta; Magnoliopsida; Malpighiales; Salicaceae. The record is from RNAcentral.